UGCGAGUGAAGAGGGAAGAGCUCAUCAUUGGAAUCUGGCAGUGUUGCACUGUCCGAGUUGUAGAUGAGGAGUAGUCCGUCUGGACUGCAUGGCGUCCAAGUACAAUAGGCCGUCAGUGGGACAUCAUAGAGGGUGACAAUCCCGUCCUUGACGCCAAUGUGCAAGUCUAUUACGAUGGCUAUCUCAGAGAGUCGAGCAGUUUGGGAUUUGCUGCUUAAACAUGGGAGGUAGAUUCCUUCUAAAGCUAAAUACAGGCGAGAGACCGAUAGAGAACAAGUACCGCAAGGGAAAGAUGAAAUAGCACUCUGUGAAGGGAGUCAAAAGGCGUGAAAUUGUUGCGAGAGAAGCGAUUCAAGUCAGCGUAGCUAGGCCCAUCAAGCGUCUUCGCUUUGGACUAGCUUUGCCAGCGGUCUUGUCCCUUGAAGAGACUUGACUUGUAAUAUGUCCAGCCUGGCGUGCACAGGCAGCCCCUUCUGGGGGCCAGUGGCAUGGCUGGUGGAAUGGCUUGCAAUCGACCCGUCUUGAAACACGGACCAAGGAGUCUAACAUGUAUGCGAGUAUAAGGGUGGCAAACCCGUAUGCGCAAUGAAAGUGAUUUUCGGUGAUUGAGAAUGGCCUGAUGACCAGACAAGCAAUAUAUGUCCCUCGUACGGCCAUUGCCCAAGUUCCGUGGUAGAUCCCACGAACAUGGAGUUGGAGCAUACAUGCUAGGACCCGAAAGAUGGUGAACUAUGCCUGGACAAAGCGAAGCCAAAGGAAACUCUGGUGGAGGCUUGUAGCGAUUCUGACGUGCAAAUCGAUCGUCUGAUCUGGGUAUAGGGGCGAAAGACUAAUCGAACCAUCUCAUA
RNAcentral lists this ribosomal RNA (848 nucleotides) under Craterellus yunnanensis. RNAcentral's name for it is "LSU rRNA". It matches the Rfam family "Eukaryotic large subunit ribosomal RNA", at positions 88 to 949 of the family's 3401-position model. Lineage: Eukaryota; Fungi; Basidiomycota; Agaricomycetes; Cantharellales; Hydnaceae. The record is from RNAcentral.